This 539-nucleotide long non-coding RNA is filed under the name Homo sapiens (human). Its description in RNAcentral is "HSALNT0369719". The record is from RNAcentral. Lineage: Eukaryota; Metazoa; Chordata; Mammalia; Primates; Hominidae.
UUGCUUCCCUGUUGAAGUGAAGAUAUAAAUGUUCCAUUCUGACCCACCUUUGAAAAACAAUUACUUUGCCCCAUGGAUUCUUUGUUCAAUUAGAAAUUUCCCCGGGGCAGGUGACCCAUAGUCUUAAAGAACAGGCUAAACACCACAGAGAGAUUGGUUGCUUUUUGCUUUUCAUCACCUGCAAGAUGUACAUAAAAAUCACAUAAGCUGGAAUUCAACAAAAGCUGCCAGCUGGUUGUGGCUAAGGAGAGACAUACAUGGCAGAGAACUGAUGUCUCCAGACAACAUCCAGCAAGGACUGAAGUCUGCCAACAGUUACAUGAGUGAGCCUGGAAGUGGAUCCUUCCGUAGUUGAGCCUUGAGAUGACCACAGCCUAGGUAGACACAUUGAUUACAGUCUUUGCAGAAACUCUAAGCCAUGCCCAGUUUUCUGACCCAUAGAAACUGUGAGAUAAUAAAUGUUUGUUGUUUUAAACUGAAAAAUUAUGGGGAUAAUUUGCUGCACAGCAAUAGAUGAUAAAUAUAUUAUGUACAACAAG